RNAcentral lists this ribosomal RNA (444 nucleotides) under Holothuria mammata. RNAcentral describes it as "partial 16S ribosomal RNA". It matches the Rfam family "Bacterial large subunit ribosomal RNA", at positions 1966 to 2625 of the family's 2925-position model. The record is from RNAcentral. Lineage: Eukaryota; Metazoa; Echinodermata; Holothuroidea; Aspidochirotida; Holothuriidae.
CAUUUGUCUUUUAAAUGAAGACUUGUAUGAACGGCAAAACCUCCUCCAACUGUCUCCCCUCCCAUCCUUCCAAAUUUCCUCCUGUGUGAAGAAGCGCAGAUACACCAGAAAGACGAGAAGACCCUGUCGAGCUUUAACCACUAAGUGGGCCUUACCCUUUCAGGCACCACCCAAAGGUUUUGGUUGGGGUAACCACGGAGAAAAAACAUCCUCCAGAACGAAUAGAAGAAAGCUUUUCACUAUUAUUACGAUUAAGAACCAGGAACUGGUAUUCGGAAAGAGUUACCGCAGGGAUAACAGCGUCAUCUCCUCUAAGAGUCCUUAUUGACGAGGAGGUUUGCGACCUCGAUGUUGGAUUGGGGCCCCCUUAGGGUGCAGAAGCUCUAAACGGUUAGACUGUUCGUCUAUUAAAGCCCUACAUGAUCUGAGUUCNAAACCGGAGAU